AGGAGGAAUAACCCCCGUGACUGCGGCAGCUCUGGAAACCUGGAUUUAGCUCCCACAGUAACUCCGGAGCUCUCUGUCUGCAGGGCCUGGAGGCUCGGGGCCGGG
Molecule: microRNA precursor, 105 nt
Filed under: Canis lupus dingo (dingo)
Lineage: Eukaryota; Metazoa; Chordata; Mammalia; Carnivora; Canidae
Description: mir-8834 microRNA precursor family
Rfam family: mir-8834 microRNA precursor family
Source: Rfam by way of RNAcentral